RNAcentral lists this ribosomal RNA (460 nucleotides) under uncultured bacterium. RNAcentral describes it as "partial 16S ribosomal RNA". It matches the Rfam family "Bacterial small subunit ribosomal RNA", at positions 338 to 795 of the family's 1533-position model. The record is from RNAcentral.
CCUACGGGAGGCAGCAGUGAGGAAUAUUGGUCAAUGGACGAGAGUCUGAACCAGCCAAGUAGCGUGAAGGAUGACUGCCCUAUGGGUUGUAAACUUCUUUUAUAAAGGAAUAAAACGAGGCACGUGUGCCUUUUUGUAUGUACUUUAUGAAUAAGGAUCGGCUAACUCCGUGCCAGCAGCCGCGGUAAUACGGAGGAUCCGAGCGUUAUCCGGAUUUAUUGGGUUUAAAGGGAGCGUAGAUGGGUUGUUAAGUCAGUUGUGAAAGUUUGCGGCUCAACCGUAAAAUUGCAAUUGAUACUGGCAGUCUUGAGUACAGUUGAGGUAGGCGGAAUUCGUGGUGUAGCGGUGAAAUGCUUAGAUAUCACGAAGAACCCCGAUUGCGAAGGCAGCUUACUAGACUGUGACUGACACUGAUGCUCGAAAGUGUGGGUAUCAAACAGGAUUAGAUACCCUUGUAGUC